This 371-nucleotide ribosomal RNA is filed under the name uncultured bacterium. RNAcentral describes it as "partial 16S ribosomal RNA". It matches the Rfam family "Bacterial small subunit ribosomal RNA", at positions 338 to 706 of the family's 1533-position model. The record is from RNAcentral.
CCUACGGGUGGCAGCAGUGAGGAAUAUUGGUCAAUGGUCGCGAGCCUGAACCAGCCAAGUCGCGUGAAGGAUGACUGCCCUACGUAUUGUAAACUUCUUUUAUAAAAGAAUAAAGUGAGGGACGCGUCCCUUUUUGAGUGUACUUUAUGAAUAAGGAUCGGCUAACUCCGUGCCAGCAGCCGCGGUAAUACGGAGGAUCCGAGCGUUAUCCGGAUUUAUUGGGUUUAAAGGGAGCGUAGAUGGGUUGUUAAGUCAGUUGUGAAAGUUUGAGGCUCAACGGUAAAAUUGCAAUUGAUACUGGCAGCCUUGAGUACAGUUGGGGUAGGCGGAAUGCGUGGUGUAUCGGUGAAAUGCUUAGAGAUCACGAAGAA